CCCCUCCACCCUGAUGUCUCUGGCUACCUGCUGGCCAAAGUGUUCAUUUUUCUGAUAAUGUUUUCAAGUUGAUGAACUCCAGUAAAUAGGUCAAAUGGAAGAAGAAACACACAGUGAGUGCUCUUUUUACACAUACCACAAGCUAAACUUUGUUUGCUCUUACUUUGUGUUCUUCCCUUGACAGCAGGUGUACAUAUAUAAUCCUUGAAAUGUUAGGUAUAGACUUCAGAAAGUCCAGCAGGCAUGUGUGAGAGAAGAUGAAUAAUUAAAGCGACAGUCAAAGAAACUUUCUUCUGAGGUACAAGAUAAAAUAAUUGUACAGAAAAAAACAAGUGAUUUGUAACAAAAGAAAGAGAGAAGAAUAUGGCAAAGGCUUUCAGAACUGCUGUUGAAAUUAGUGCUUAUAAAGGACUAUGAAAUACAAAUUAUUCAGGAAAGUGGUAGUUACACUGUCCUAGCUGAAGGAAAGAUGUGUUUUAGAAUUAAGGGAUGAGCUUGGGAAGCUCUUGCCAUGGAAAGCCAUUAUGCCUAAAAGCAGGUUAGGGUCUUUCAAAGGUGUGGAUCUCUUGCUGAACAAGGAGAAUGUAUGAAACAGCAGGAAAUGAAGAGAAACUUCCUGGCAUGAGGCAAUGAAGAGGCUAAGGAGAUCAUAUGCUGAAUGGUUGAAUACAAAGUGCCAAGGUGUCUGGUGACCCCAGCUGAAGCAAUUGUAGGGCAAUUUGUUGCAUCUAGGAAAGCAGCGCAUAAAAUGGACUCAGGAACCACCUUGUUCUUGGGAGGCUCUUUGCUCCUUUGAAUCUUCAGGUUUUCUACAAAGAGGUUUCUCACUGUGGGAGUACAAACCUGCUUCAGUUUGACUGAAGUCCUGCCUAUGGAGCUGGCUGUUUCUUGAGACAAGUACACUGUGAUUACGACGACUGUCCUGAGGGCUGGGACUCCGUCCACAAGCUGCUUUCCUGAACAAAUGUAUUUGGGUAUAGUCAAUCAAAGGGAAGAAGGAUGUCAAAGGACUGGCCUUACUUGCUAUAGGAGUCUGCAGAGCUACUGCAGAAUGAACUUAUUUCAUCACAACUAUAUCAGUUAUCUGUCAUCAGCAGAAAAAGGAAAGCAUGGAAGAAAUGUUUUUGUAAAGGGCUGA
This 1138-nucleotide long non-coding RNA is filed under the name Apteryx owenii (little spotted kiwi). RNAcentral describes it as "lncRNA (ENSAOWG00000001299.1)". The record is from RNAcentral. Lineage: Eukaryota; Metazoa; Chordata; Aves; Apterygiformes; Apterygidae.